RNAcentral lists this microRNA (23 nucleotides) under Petromyzon marinus (sea lamprey). Its description in RNAcentral is "Pma-Mir-96-P1o2_5p (mature (guide))". Lineage: Eukaryota; Metazoa; Chordata; Hyperoartia; Petromyzontiformes; Petromyzontidae. The record is from RNAcentral.
UUUGGCACUUGCACAUAUUUGCU